This 523-nucleotide ribosomal RNA is filed under the name uncultured bacterium. Its description in RNAcentral is "partial 16S ribosomal RNA". It matches the Rfam family "Bacterial small subunit ribosomal RNA", at positions 355 to 866 of the family's 1533-position model. The record is from RNAcentral.
UAGGGAAUCUUCCACAAUGGGCGCAAGUCUGAUGGAGCAACGCCGCGUGAGUGAAGAAGGUCUUCGGGAUCGUAAAAGCUCUGUUGUUGGUGAAGAAGGAUAGAGGCAGUAAAUGGUCUUUAUUUGACGGUAAUCAACCAGAAAGUCACGGCUAACUACGUGCCAGCAGCCGCGGUAAUACGUAGGUGGCAAGCGUUGUCCGGAUUUAUUGGGCGUAAAGCGAGCGCAGGCGGAAUGAUAAGUCUGAUGUGAAAGCCCACGGCUCAACCGUGGAACUGCAUCGGAAACUGUCAUUCUUGAGUGCAGAAGAGGAGAGUGGAACUCCAUGUGUAGCGGUGGAAUGCGUAGAUAUAUGGAAGAACACCAGUGGCGAAGGCGGCUCUCUGGUCUGCAACUGACGCUGAGGCUCGAAAGCAUGGGUAGCGAACAGGAUUAGAUACCCUGGUAGUCCAUGCCGUAAACGAUGAGCGCUAGGUGUUGGGGACUUUCCGGUCCUCAGUGCCGCAGCAAAUCGCAUUAAGCG